RNAcentral lists this ribosomal RNA (637 nucleotides) under uncultured bacterium. RNAcentral's name for it is "bacterial SSU rRNA". It matches the Rfam family "Bacterial small subunit ribosomal RNA", at positions 93 to 739 of the family's 1533-position model. The record is from RNAcentral.
AACCGGCGAACGGGUGCGUAACACGUGAGCAAUCUGCCGAUUUCUGGGGGAUAGCCGGCCCAACGGCCGGGUAAUACCGCAUACGUUCUCGAGGGGGAGUCCCCUUGGGAAGAAGGGAAAUCGAGGAGCUCGCGGCCUAUCAGCUAGUUGGCGGUGUGAUGGACCACCAAGGCUAUGACGGGUAGCUGGUCUGAGAGGAUGGCCAGCCACAUUGGGACUGAGAAACGGCCCAGACUCCUACGGGAGGCAGCAGUGGGGAAUCUUGCGCAAUGGCCGAAAGGCUGACGCAGCGACGCCGCGUGGGGGAGGAAGGCCUUCGGGUUGUAAACCCCUGUUGCCCGGGACGAAUGCGCUCUAUUGGGGGCGUUGACGGUACCGGGUGAGGAAGCACCGGCUAACUCCGUGCCAGCAGCCGCGGUAAUACGGAGGGUGCAAGCGUUGUCCGGAAUCACUGGGCGUAAAGGGCGCGUAGGCGGCUCAUAAAGGCUGUGGUGAAAGUUCGGGGCUCAACCUCGAAUCGGCCGUGGCGACUUGUGGGCUGGAGCACUGUAGAGGCGGGUGGAAUUCCGGGUGUAGCGGUGGAAUGCGUAGAGAUCCGGAAGAACACCAGUGGCGAAGGCGGCCCGCUGGGCAGUGG